Molecule: non-coding RNA, 107 nt
Organism: Burkholderia ubonensis
Lineage: Bacteria; Pseudomonadati; Pseudomonadota; Betaproteobacteria; Burkholderiales; Burkholderiaceae
Source: Rfam
CGCCUCAUGCCUGAAAGGGCAACGACGUCGAGUCGGAGCGAGGAGUCAGCAGAGGCCAUAGUAGUUGGGCGGUGUGGCUGGGAAAGCUAAAGCUGCCGGCGAAGGGC